This 483-nucleotide ribosomal RNA is filed under the name Talaromyces siamensis. RNAcentral describes it as "eukaryotic LSU rRNA". The stretch from base 123 to 276 matches the Rfam family "5.8S ribosomal RNA". Lineage: Eukaryota; Fungi; Ascomycota; Eurotiomycetes; Eurotiales; Trichocomaceae. The record is from RNAcentral.
UUUGGCGGGCCCACCGGGGCCGCCUGGUCGCCGGGGGACGCCCGUCCCCGGGCCCGCGCCCGCCGAAGCGCUCUGUGAACCCUGAUGAAGAUGGGCUGUCUGAGUACGAUGAAAAUUGUCAAAACUUUCAACAAUGGAUCUCUUGGUUCCGGCAUCGAUGAAGAACGCAGCGAAAUGCGAUAAGUAAUGUGAAUUGCAGAAUUCCGUGAAUCAUCGAAUCUUUGAACGCACAUUGCGCCCCCUGGCAUUCCGGGGGGCAUGCCUGUCCGAGCGUCAUUUCUGCCCUCAAGCACGGCUUGUGUGUUGGGUGUGGUCCCCCCGGGGACCUGCCCGAAAGGCAGCGGCGACGUCCGUCUGGUCCUCGAGCGUAUGGGGCUCUGUCACUCGCUCGGGAAGGACCUGCGGGGGUUGGUCACCACCAUAUUUUACCACGGUUGACCUCGGAUCAGGUAGGAGUUACCCGCUGAACUUAAGCAUAUCAAU